UCUUGUUUGUUUUCAUUUGUCUCUUCUUUUUCUUUUGUUUGUAUACCUCUUCUUCGUUUGGUGCUGUUUACAUACAAACACCAAGCAGUUUGAUACAGUGUAUUUUGUAAAGUGACGGCUAAUAAAAAUUACGUUUCGUUUUCAAUUUCAAUUCUUGUCCAAGUUGAAGUUGAGUGCAAGGAUAAAACUGUUUUUUCAUU
RNAcentral lists this non-coding RNA (200 nucleotides) under Foraminifera environmental sample. Lineage: Eukaryota; Foraminifera. The record is from RNAcentral.